This 375-nucleotide ribosomal RNA is filed under the name uncultured organism. Its description in RNAcentral is "partial 16S ribosomal RNA". It matches the Rfam family "Bacterial small subunit ribosomal RNA", at positions 527 to 896 of the family's 1533-position model. The record is from RNAcentral.
GUAGGUGGCAAGCGUUGUCCGGGAAUUAUUGGGGCGUAAAGCGCGCGCAGGCGGUUCUUUAAGUCUGAUGUGAAAGCCCACGGGCUCAACCGUGGAGGGUCAUUGGAAACUGGAGAACUUGAGUACAGAAGAGGAAAGCGGAAUUCCACGUGUAGCGGUGAAAUGCGUAGAGAUGUGGAGGAACACCAGUGGCGAAGGCGGCUUUCUGGUCUGUAGCUGACGCUGAGGCGCGAAAGCGCGGGGAGCAAACAGGAUUAGAUACCCUGGUAGUCCACGCCGUAAACGAUGAGUGCUAAGUGUUAGGGGGUUUCCGCCCCUUAGUGCUGCAGCUAACGCAUUAAGCACUCCGCCUGGGGAGUACGGCCGCAAAGGCUG